GUUAAUGUUGCUGUCCAUGUCAGCAGCAGCAACAGUAGCCGAGGAGUGAAUAUCUGGAUUUAGAGGCUUGUGGGUUCUGGGAUCUAUGCCUUGGCUGAUCAGCUUCUUGCUCAGAAUGGAUGAUGGGCAUAUAUAUAUAUAUAUAUGUAUAUAUGUAUGUAUACCGGUUGCCCAGGAGGCGAUGGAGGCGAAGGAUGAGAUCUUCUUCGUCGGGGGCGAUCUGGCCGCGCUUGACAGAAGGGCGGAGGUAGUUCAUCCAGCGGAGGCGGCAACUCUUGCCGCAGCGGAGCAGCCCCGCCCUCUUGGGUAGGGUCCGCCAUCGGCCCUCACCUUCUUUAUUGAUGUAAUUGGACAAGAGCUCGUCCUCUUCUGGCGUCCACGGCCCUCUCUUCAAACCCACCUUGAUACAACACGGCGUCUUGCUCCCACCACUGGUCCCCGCCGCCUUGCUCGACGACGACGAUGUUAUUUUCGUUGGUAUUGAAGUUGCUGUCGCUGCAGCUACCGCCGCUUUUGACGACGAUGACGAUGACGAUGACGAUGGGUUUCUCAUUAUUGAAGCAAAGCUGUCUCGACUUCUUCUGAGUGAGUAGGGUAAGGCUAUAGCACUCAAAUGCCGUCGGCAAGUGAUAUCUUAGAAAUCUUUGGGGAUGGAAGAAGAUGGUGAUUGGGUAGCUAGCAAUAGUUGUUCUGAUCUUGUUUCUCUGCCCUUCUUCUUGUGUAGAUUUAAUUUUUGUAAUUUUUUUUUUUUUAAAGUUUGUUGGUAUUGAGAGGGGAGGAUGGGUGUGCGAUGCGAGUCCAGACAGAUUUCAGGGGUAUGGUGUAAUAUGCUGAUCACGAACUGAUAACUCCUCACGCGCCUUUCAACUGCCUGGACAUCACUCUUCUCUGCUUUAUUUUAGUGCCCUAAUGAUUUUACUUUCAUACCAGUGGAAUUCUGCUUUAGUGAGCAAGUGUAUAUAAUAUGAACUCUACAAAUCCUAUUUUCUUCUU
Long non-coding RNA from Prunus dulcis (almond), 993 nucleotides. RefSeq lists it as uncharacterized. The record is from RefSeq and is a predicted model, not a curated record. Lineage: Eukaryota; Viridiplantae; Streptophyta; Magnoliopsida; Rosales; Rosaceae. The transcript is spliced from 2 exons.